Piliocolobus tephrosceles (Ugandan red Colobus) is the source of this 1615-nucleotide long non-coding RNA. NCBI's taxonomy places the organism in Eukaryota, Metazoa, Chordata, Mammalia, Primates, Cercopithecidae. The record is from Ensembl.
UGGUGUUAGUGAUGUUAGUGGUGUUGGUGGUGUUAGUGGUGUUGGUGGUGUUGGUGGUUUUGGUGGUGUUGGUGGUGUUGGUGGUGUUGGUGGUGUUGGUGGUAUAUUUGAACAAAGUAGGGAUCAGGAAAUAAAUGAUAAAAUAAAAAGUAACGAAUAUAAUAUAGGUGAAAAUGAUACCAUAAGUACAACAGUAAAUAUGGAUGGUAUUACUGAUGGAACGACUAAUUUUAGUCAAUUACGUCUCCUUCAAAAUAACCAAUCGCUUAUGAACCUAAAAAGAGAUUUCGUAUUUUCUUCCCAAAAUGAACAACAACCAAUCAUACAAAACAUACAAAACAAAAUGGAUGUUACUUCUAAUAAUAUUAACAUACAAGAAACAAUAACAUCAGUAACGAUGAGAGAAGAAGAUGGUGAUGGUAACGAUGAUGAUGAUGAUGAUGAUGACGAAGAGGAUGAUGAUGAGGACACUGAAACAGAAACUCUAAAUGAAUAUCGCAAUACAUUAAAUAAAUUAUUCGAAAUGGAUAAGAAUUUAAAAAUUUUAUAUGAUAUGUGUAAAGAAAAUAAUUUAUUGACUGAAAAAGAAUUUAUAAAUAUACAUAAAAAUGAUAUAUAUGAAUAUAAAAAUAUGCAUAAUUAUAAGAAUAGUUAUAUAUUAAAAGAACCUAUAUAUAUAUCUGAAGAGGAAAAAAAUGCUAAAAGUGUUACAAUAGAUAAAGAAAUAAGUAAAUUAAUUUUAUCAGAAAAUAAAAAAUUAAAAGAAUUAUAUGAUUAUUAUGUAGAACAUAAUAUUUUAAAUGAAAGUAAAUUUUGGUAUUUUUUAUUUAAUAACAAAUAUAGUCAUUUAUUUUUUUAUGACAAAAAUGAAAGAGAUAAUAAUAACAGUAUGAUGUUAGGAGAUAAUAAAAAUAUUGUAAAUAUUAAAGAAGAAAAUAUAAAUAUAAAAAAUCUGACGUAUGAUAUAGAAAAUAUAAAACAAGAUAUAAAAGGAACUUUAGAAAAAUGUAUUUUAAAAGAGUAUUUAACAACUAAAAAUUAUGAUAAAAAAAAUUAUUUAUUUAAAAAUAAUUAUUAUUUUAGAGAUGAAUAUACAGAAGGAUUUGGUAUGUUUACUAAUGAUAAAUUAAUUAAAAAUAAUAAUAAUUCGAUCAACUUAUUGAUAAAUAAAUUUAAUAAUUAUUGUAUACGUAUGAUUAAAGAUAAAAAUUUUACUAUGGACAAUUUUUAUGAAGAAAUAAAAAAUAAAAUCGAUGAUACAGAUUUAAACCCAGUUCAAGAAAAAGUAGAAAUACAAUUAAAUUUGAACAGAAAAAGAAGUAUAUACGAUAUGGAUAGUAAUACGAAUAAUGAGCUCCCAGAAAAUAAAGACAUAUUAGAUAAACAAUUUGCUGCAUUUUUUAACGAUUUGAAAAAUAAUAAGCAUUCCAGUAAAAAAAACUACGUCGACUUGUUCAACAUAGGUAAAGAUGGGCGUGCGUACAUGUAUAUUUAUAAACCAUAUACAUAUGUGUAUAUAUAUAAACGUACAUAAUAUGCGAUCCAUGGCCCUGUCCCAUGUUAACAUAAAAAAAAGCCUCCGUCAAUCAUCUGUGUGGUACAUUUUUGUGCUAUC